AGACCCGAAACCCGGUGAUCUAGCCAUGGGCAGGUUGAAGGUUGGGUAACACUAACUGGAGGACCGAACCGACUAAUGUUGAAAAAUUAGCGGAUGACCUGUGGCUGGGGGUGAAAGGCCAAUCAAACCGGGAGAUAGCUGGUUCUCCCCGAAAGCUAUUUAGGUAGCGCCUCGUGAAUUCAUCUCCGGGGGUAGAGCACUGUUUCGGCUAGGGGGCCAUCCCGGCUUACCAACCCGAUGCAAACUGCGAAUACCGGAGAAUGUUAUCACGGGAGACACACGGCGGGUGCUAACGUCCGUCGUGAAGAGGGAAACAACCCAGACCGCCAGCUAAGGUCCCAAAGUCAUGGUUAAGUGGGAAACGAUGUGGGAAGGCCCAGACAGCCAGGAUGUUGGCUUAGAAGCAGCCAUCAUUUAAAGAAAGCGUAAUAGCUCACUGGUCGAGUCGGCCUGCGCGGAAGAUGUAACGGGGCUAAACCAUGCACCGAAGCUGCGGCAGCGACACUCAGGUGUUGUUGGGUAGGGGAGCGUUCUGUA
RNAcentral lists this ribosomal RNA (537 nucleotides) under Salmonella enterica subsp. enterica serovar Infantis. RNAcentral describes it as "partial 23S ribosomal RNA". It matches the Rfam family "Bacterial large subunit ribosomal RNA", at positions 711 to 1245 of the family's 2925-position model. Lineage: Bacteria; Pseudomonadati; Pseudomonadota; Gammaproteobacteria; Enterobacterales; Enterobacteriaceae. RNAcentral also lists the same sequence under 3 other names. The record is from RNAcentral.